Molecule: ribosomal RNA, 506 nt
Filed under: uncultured bacterium
Lineage: Bacteria
Description: bacterial SSU rRNA
Rfam family: Bacterial small subunit ribosomal RNA
Source: RNAcentral
GACGAACGCUGGCGGCGUGGAUUAGGCAUGCAAGUCGAACGGUAUCAUCCUUUCGGGGGUGAGAGAGUGGCGAACUGGUGAGUAACACGUAGGUUAUCUACCCUCAAGACGGGGACAACCCAGGGAAACUUGGGCUAAUACCGGAUGUGAGCAACUUUUAGUUGUUUGAAAGGUGGCGUAAGCUGUCGCUUGGGGAUGAGCCUGCGUCCUAUUAGUUAGUUGGUGAGGUAACGGCUCACCUAGGCAAUGAUAGGUAGGCGGCCUUAACGGGUGGUCGCCCACACUGGGAUUGAGAUACGGCCCAGACUCCUACGGGAGGCAGCAGUCGAGAAUAGUCUACAAUGGUCGGAAGACUGAUAGUGCGACGCCGCGUGAACGAUGAAUCCCUUCGGGGUGUAAAAGUUCUUUUAUAUGUGAGCAGUGCUUCUUAUAUUAACAGUAUGGGGAGAGAGAUAUUAGCAUAUGAAUAAGCAACGGCUAACUCCGUGCCAGCAGCCGCGGUAAAA